This 229-nucleotide ribosomal RNA is filed under the name uncultured bacterium. Its description in RNAcentral is "partial 16S ribosomal RNA". It matches the Rfam family "Bacterial small subunit ribosomal RNA", at positions 91 to 334 of the family's 1533-position model. The record is from RNAcentral.
UACAGUGGCGACCGGGUGAGUAACACGUGACUAACCUACCUUCGAGUGGGGGAUAACCUCGGGAAACCGAGGCUAAUACCGCAUAACAUCGAGAGAUCAAAGGAGCAAUUCGCUUGAAGAGGGGGUCGCGGCUGAUUAGCUAGUUGGCGGGGUAAUGGCCCACCAAGGCGAUGAUCGGUAUCCGGCCUGAGAGGGCGCACGGACACACUGGAACUGAAACACGGUCCAG